AACGAACGCUGGCGGCAGGCCUAACACAUGCGAGUCGAGCGAGGACUUCGGUCCUAGCGGCGGACGGGUGAGUAACGCGUGGGAACGUGCCCUUUGCUUCGGAAUAGCCCUGGGUAACUGGGAGUAAUACCGGAUGAGCCCUUUGGGGGAAAGAUUUAUCGGCGAAGGAUCGGCCCGCGUUGGAUUAGGUAGUUGGUGGGGUAAUGGCCUACCAAGCCGACGAUCCAUAGCUGGUUUGAGAGGAUGAUCAGCCACACUGGGACUGAGACACGGCCCAGACUCCUACGGGAGGCAGCAGUGGGGAAUCUUAGACAAUGGGGGAAACCCUGAUCGAGCCAUGCCGCGUGAGCGAUGAAGGCCUUAGGGUUGUAAAGCUCUUUCAGCUGGGAAGAUAAUGACGGUACCAGCAGAAGAAGCCCCGGCUAACUCCGUG
Molecule: ribosomal RNA, 433 nt
Filed under: uncultured bacterium
Lineage: Bacteria
Description: partial 16S ribosomal RNA
Rfam family: Bacterial small subunit ribosomal RNA
Source: RNAcentral